UCACAGGAAUAGUUGGCAACAAGAUCUGUACAGAUUCCACCAUUCCUGCAGGGUUCAGCUUCACAUUCAUUCACAUCUGCAGGAAUCACACAAAAGGAUGCCAGGAUUAGCAGAGAAAUGGAACCUGUAUUCAAAACAUUAUGAAUAGUGAGUAGGAUAAUCCCAUUGCUGUGAACAGAAAUGCAGAGACAGGUCUCCAGUGGAACAGGAAGGCUACUUUCACUUGCUUGAACCAGAAAGUUUUCAGAUUUUUAUGCUAAAAUUAAUGAUGGCAAUGGAUCCCUGGGCUUCUUUUUAACCCCUCAUGUUUUACCAUUUCUUGCUUGUAAAGAUAUUAGAUACUGGCAUAAUAAAACUUUAGAGUUAGCUGAA
Long non-coding RNA from Passer domesticus (house sparrow), 372 nucleotides. RefSeq lists it as uncharacterized. The transcript has 2 exons. The record is from RefSeq and is a predicted model, not a curated record. NCBI's taxonomy places the organism in Eukaryota, Metazoa, Chordata, Aves, Passeriformes, Passeridae.